AACGAACGCUGGCGGCAGGCUUAACACAUGCAAGUCGAACGGUUGUAGCAAUACAGCAGUGGCAGACGGGUGAGUAACACGUGGGAACCUUCCUAGGGGUACGGAACAACUCAGGGAAACUUGAGCUAAUACCGUAUACGUCCUUACGGAGAAAGAUUUAUCGCCCUUAGACGGGCCCGCGUCGGAUUAGGUAGUUGGUGGGGUAACGGCCUACCAAGCCUACGAUCCGUAGCUGAUCUGAGAGGAUGAUCAGCCACACUGGGACUGAGACACGGCCCAGACUCCUACGGGAGGCAGCAGUGGGGAAUCUUGCGCAAUGCGCGAAAGCGUGACGCAGCAACGCCGCGUGAGUGAAGAAGGCCUUCGGUUG
This 370-nucleotide ribosomal RNA is filed under the name uncultured bacterium. RNAcentral's name for it is "bacterial SSU rRNA". It matches the Rfam family "Bacterial small subunit ribosomal RNA", at positions 29 to 425 of the family's 1533-position model. The record is from RNAcentral.